RNAcentral lists this ribosomal RNA (187 nucleotides) under uncultured rumen bacterium. Its description in RNAcentral is "partial 16S ribosomal RNA". It matches the Rfam family "Bacterial small subunit ribosomal RNA", at positions 340 to 524 of the family's 1533-position model. The record is from RNAcentral.
UACGGGAGGCAGCAGUAAGGAAUAUUGGUCAAUGGAAGGAAUUCUGAACCAGCCAUGCCGCGUGCAGGAAGAAUGCCUUAUGGGUUGUAAACUGCUUUUAUUAGAGACUAAAGAUAGAUACGAGUAUUUAGAUGAAUGUAUCUAAUGAAUAAGCAUCGGCUAACUCCGUGCCAGCAGCCGCGGUAAU